AUCAUACUUCCCCCGUCCGAAAAUACUUGUCAUCAAAAUAAAUAAAAAAUGAUAUAUUUAAAACUGAAAUACGUCUUGAUACAUCUCCUUUUAUCCAUUUUGAUGACAAGUAUUUCCGGGCGGAGGGAAUACGUA
Molecule: non-coding RNA, 135 nt
Organism: Triticum aestivum (bread wheat)
Lineage: Eukaryota; Viridiplantae; Streptophyta; Magnoliopsida; Poales; Poaceae
Source: Rfam